This 508-nucleotide long non-coding RNA is filed under the name Ursus thibetanus thibetanus. RNAcentral's name for it is "lncRNA (ENSUTTG00000000191.1)". Lineage: Eukaryota; Metazoa; Chordata; Mammalia; Carnivora; Ursidae. The record is from RNAcentral.
GAAGUAUAUAACAGAAAUCUAAUUGAUUUAGUAUGUAUAAAAAUAUUUAUAAAAUUUAUGAAUUUAAUAUUUUCUAUUAAAUAUGAAGUUACAAUAUUAAUAUUUAUGUGCUAAAACUGUCCUAAGAAUUGGCCAUUAUUCUUUUAUUUCAUUGUUAUUUGGAUGAGACUAGCAGGACUAUUGUCUAAUAUAGGACAUGUUUAAUCUUCAUUCCCAUCACAGGCAGAUUUGCUAUGGGGACAUGGGACCAGACCAAGGGUACAAGACUCUAAAAACUUGAAAUCCUGUAAGAGGUGCUCUUGGGACUGACUUCAUAAGGCUUUAAUUAUGCUCUGGUGAGUUGGGAUAUUCUGUCUUCUCUGUUGCUGAGGAUGUUAUUAUCUGUUUGAAGGGUUAUUAAUUUUGUGAUACAGAAGACAACUGUUGGAAAAAAGAAAUGGUUGUCUUUUAAUCAUUUAAUAUUACAUUUUAUUAUAAUACUAAAAACUCCAAAGUAAUUCAAUGAUAC